AAACCGUUGAAAGGGAAGCGAAUGGAGUUAGCAAUUCGCCCUGUCAGAUUCAGCCGCUCGCGCUUCGCGACGCGCGCGUUCUCGAUCCGCAUGGACGAGGCGCGUGCGGACGCGUCGUGCGGACGGCGCACUUCUGGCGGGCGAGCGUCAGCGUCGGUUGUCGCCGGGCGAAAAGGACGCGAGGAAGGUGGACAGUCCUUCGGGACCGUUGUUAAGCCUCGCGCUCGUACGGCUCGACGGCGACCGUGGCUCUCGUUUCAUCGCGAGAGGCGACGCGUGCCUUGGCUGGCGACUCGUGCGAUCGGUCCGACAUGUCGACUGUGGCGGACGGCACGCCUGUGCGCUCGAACCGCUGCCGGUCGUUCGCGCGAUGUUCGCACACUACGCGUCGAAGAUGCUGACGGCCAUACGGCUCCAUCCGACCCGUCUUGAAACACGGACCAAGGAGUCUAACAUGUGCGCGAGUCUCCGGGUGAUCGAAACCCGUGGGCGCAAUGAAAGUAAAGGUCGUCUCGGACGGCCGAGGUGAGAAGCGGGCAUCUCUGCUCGCCGCAUCAUCGACCGACCUCUUCUGCUCUCAGGAAGGUUUGAGUAAGAGCGUAUCUGUUGGGACCCGAAAGAUGGUGAACUAUGCCUGAAUAGGGUGAAGUCAGCGGAAACACUGAUGGAAGCUCG
RNAcentral lists this ribosomal RNA (675 nucleotides) under Stragulum bicolor. RNAcentral's name for it is "partial large subunit ribosomal RNA". It matches the Rfam family "Eukaryotic large subunit ribosomal RNA", at positions 402 to 877 of the family's 3401-position model. Lineage: Eukaryota; Metazoa; Cnidaria; Anthozoa; Malacalcyonacea; Clavulariidae. The record is from RNAcentral.